Molecule: unclassified non-coding RNA, 228 nt
Filed under: Hevea brasiliensis (rubber tree)
Lineage: Eukaryota; Viridiplantae; Streptophyta; Magnoliopsida; Malpighiales; Euphorbiaceae
Source: RNAcentral
GACUACGUGCAAUGUGUAAAGAGGAAGUCAUUGCCUGAUAUAUCCCAGGAGAAAUUAGCCACAUUGAAGGGCUCCUUAUCAUUUUCUCAAAUUUCGAAUUUGACUGUGCGAGGGAAGAAUGAGGGCUUUGGUGAUGUAGUUGAUCUUGAGAAAGUGGAAAUGCCGCCGUUGGGAUUUGUCGAGGAGAUAGCCAGGGCAAUGAGGCGGGAAACGGGGCUUAAUUUGUUC